Molecule: ribosomal RNA, 253 nt
Filed under: uncultured Parabacteroides sp.
Lineage: Bacteria; Pseudomonadati; Bacteroidota; Bacteroidia; Bacteroidales; Tannerellaceae
Description: partial 16S ribosomal RNA
Rfam family: Bacterial small subunit ribosomal RNA
Source: RNAcentral
UACGGAGGAUGCGAGCGUUAUCCGGAUUUAUUGGGUUUAAAGGGUGCGUAGGUUGUUUUUUAAGUCAGCGGUGAAAGUUUGUGGCUCAACCAUAAAAUUGCCGUUGAAACUGGAAGACUUGAGUGUGUUUGAGGUAGGCGGAAUGCGUGGUGUAGCGGUGAAAUGCGUAGAUAUAAGGAAGAACACCAGUGGCGAAGGCGGAUUACUGGACGAUAACUGACGGUGAGGCGCGAAAGCGUGGGGAGCAAACAGG